RNAcentral lists this ribosomal RNA (443 nucleotides) under uncultured bacterium. Its description in RNAcentral is "partial 16S ribosomal RNA". It matches the Rfam family "Bacterial small subunit ribosomal RNA", at positions 338 to 795 of the family's 1533-position model. The record is from RNAcentral.
CCUACGGGUGGCAGCAGUGGGGAAUAUUGGGCAAUGGAGGCAACUCUGACCCAGCAACGCCGCGUGAGUGAUGAAGGUCUUCGGAUUGUAAAACUCUUUAAUUGGGGACGAAGAAAGUGACUGUACCCGCAGAAUAAGCCUCGGCUAACUACGUGCCAGCAGCCGCGGUAAUACGUAGGAGGCAAGCGUUAUCCGGAAUGACUGGGCGUAAAGGGUGCGUAGGUGGUUUAACAAGUCAGAUGCGUAAUUCCUGGGCUCAACCUCGGAACUACAAUUGAAACUGUUGGGCUUGAGUGCAGGAGAGGUGAAUGGAAUUCCUAGUGUAGCGGUGGAAUGCGUAGAUAUUAGGAGGAACACCAGCGGCGAAGGCGAUUCACUGGACUGUAACUGACGCUGAGGCACGAAAGCGUGGGGAGCAAACAGGAUUAGAUACCCUAGUAGUC